Molecule: ribosomal RNA, 229 nt
Filed under: uncultured bacterium
Lineage: Bacteria
Description: partial 16S ribosomal RNA
Rfam family: Bacterial small subunit ribosomal RNA
Source: RNAcentral
CGCGUAGGCGGCUUUGUAAGUCGGAUGUGAAAGCCCUGGGCUCAACCUGGGAAUUGCAUUCGAUACUGCAGAACUAGAGUAUGGUAGAGGGAAGUGGAAUUUCCGGUGUAGCGGUGAAAUGCGUAGAUAUCGGAAGGAACACCAGUGGCGAAGGCGACUUCCUGGGCCAAUACUGACGCUGAGGUGCGAAAGCGUGGGGAGCGAACAGGAUUAGAUACCCUGGUAGUCC